GGAUAAAGUGCUGAUGGAGGAAAAUGCGUAAAAAAUGAGUGACCAAGGAGCAUACUGUGAUCCUCCUGGCUGUCCCGAGAGAGAGAGAGGAGCUGGAGGAAGAAGAGGAUGAAGAGGAUGAUCCAAGUCCCGGUUCCAAGUCCAGGUUCCAAGUGUGCGAAUCAACAGCUUCUCAAAACUGGUGCGAAUAACGACACCGGGAAGGUUGUUGUUGAUGCUCUCACUGCUGCAGCUGCUGCUUCCUCCUCCUCCUCCUCCUCCUCUUCUUCAUCUGCUGCUCUGCACCGCAUCCCCGGCGAUGAUGCUCCGCUCCUCGACGCCGUCCGUGACAGAAAUGCAGCAGCAAACGGGAUGUUUGUCAAUGAAACUAGUGAGGCUCAGUGGGGAAGGGAUCUUGAUGCAUGCAGCCGAGCCGUUCAUAAAACUGCUGCAGCCCUGCCCGCCCAGAGGAGGAAGAAGAACGAGGAGGAAAGGGGGUGGAGGAGGAGGAGGAGAAGGUGGUGGGGGUGUGUGUGGGGGGGGGGUGCAUGUGUGUACGUGUGAUGUGAGGGGGUCGGAUGGUGUUGGCGAUGUGAUGAGGAGCAGCUCUUCCUCACAUGGCACCUGUAGCCCCUGAACCCCACGUGGCAUGAUAUUUACAUGUUACACUGAUGUGUGAUAGGCAGGGAGAUGAUGGAGAGAGAUGGAGAGAGAGGAGAGGGGAGAGAGGGGGGGGUGUAAUAUAGGAGGAGGAGGAGUGAGAUGAGAGAGGAGAGAGGAGACAGGCAGGUGAAUUAAUGAGAGGAGGAAUAAUGGAAAAGGGGGGCAGAAGGGAGAAAAUGAGAUAUGGAGUGUGUGUGUGAGAGAGAGAGAGGAAUAACCUACAAAUGGAUUGGGGAAACGAGAUGAAUGAAAGAGAGGAGGAAAAAAACAAGGAGAGUAAAAGGCUGGAGAAAGCAGAUAUAUGAUGAGGCAUGAAGAAAUAAAGUACAAUAUGAGGAGUAAUGACA
Long non-coding RNA from Sebastes umbrosus (honeycomb rockfish), 989 nucleotides. RefSeq lists it as uncharacterized. Lineage: Eukaryota; Metazoa; Chordata; Actinopteri; Perciformes; Sebastidae. The record is from RefSeq and is a predicted model, not a curated record. The transcript has 2 exons.